GUGUGUGUGUGUGUGUGGCCUUUCCCCACACCCUUCUAGGCCCUCCUUCACGGACGAAACCAAUGCACGUCAACCGAACUCGGCGCUGCACCCAUCGCUCUUGCUCUUCCAUGUGAACUGGUGUCGCGCAAGAGCCGGGGGACGGCAAGAAGAUCGUUCACACACAACACCAUGAGGGAAGAGGUACUCUGACGCGGCUGCAUCACAUGCCACGCAUCGUGUGUCGCCACUCUCUAUACUCACCGUCAGUGUUGUCUCACCAACCUCCUCCAUCCCCGGCCGCCACAUGAUCUUUUCCGACCCUCUUGCGUUUCAGCGGUGCGCUGCUGUAGCGCGCGCGUCGACGGCUGCGUCGCACCACAGCGUCUGGAAUCAGGAAACGUUUGAGGUGCUCAUGCAAAUGCUCAGCGCUGUCGCGGCCAGGCUCGCAAGGAAUCACCUGAAGCGCAAGGUUCGGCGCGCCCUGUCCAUCGCUGGCUUUCGGGUCGUCGCCUGCGCCAUGCUUGGUGCCACGGAUCGUACUCUUGGCCACGCCCCACGCGUCGCAGGUCAUCCACCGCGUUUGCUCGGGCGUCUCGGCCACGUGGACGGUGGCAGUACUCGCGGGCUGUGUAGAGGCAGGGCGACGCACCUUUUUGCGUGUGUGCAUGGCUUGAAGUGGAUGGGCCAAACCCUGAGCACUUUAUCAGCGCGGUGGCACUCAUCCGCUUGCUCGUCUAACCCUCUGGAGUGGCUGGGCAAGGUCGGCGCUGGUGAAGACCAUGUGCGCCAGUAUUUUUCCCGCACUUGGCCACGAAGGCAGUCGUGUGGGCGCUGCACGGCAAGCGCAUGUUCAAGAAGGAAGAGGACAAGGACGCAGCGUGCGCGGCCGCUGCGAUGGUGGUGGGCACGGAGGCUGGUGUGGAGCGAGGCCGUGAGAGGGCAGGCCUUCCGCUUGCGCGUGCGGCAUCAGUGGCUGCACCGACCACCACCACCACCCUCGCGUCUGCCUCGGAGGUGAAGCUGAUGCGAUCGAUGCCGGUUACUGACAUCGCUGCUACCAAGCGGAGAUGGAGGACACGGAAAACGGCAACGCUGCAGUGAACAAAUACGCGGUCGAGGGCACGUCGUGGCUCAAAAGCUGUGGGCGCCAGCUGCCGCCACCGCUGCGCAUGCGGCUGGAGGUCGGCAGGGCCGACAGCACCAGCACCAGUUGCUUGGCUGUGAUGCGCACAGGCGGCCACGCUGUUCGCUCUUCAAGCCUUUGUGACUAGGAUCCUUGUUGGCGUCAGUGCGUAUCCCCUGGUCGCCAGGUGUGCUGUGUUGUCUACUGGGGCGGGGCGCUCCUCGUCCCGCAGCUUCGAUCGAUGGUGGAUUCGGUACGUAGCGGAUAAGAGCAGCCGCCGCGAGACAGACGAGGAGGAGAGGGAGGGGGAGGCUGUUGUCGGUCGCCGUCGUCGUUGUUUGCCCUGUCGCCCUCCCUCUACCGCCACCACCACCCACCCACCCACCUCAACUCACGCCUGUCUACCGAGGUCGAGAAGAAUGCCUCCCCGCUUGAGAUUGCUGUUGCAGUCGUUAUCGCAGCUAUUGUCGGCCCGCUCCUUCUCUCUCAUGGCUGUGGUGUGUGUGUGUGUGUGUGUUUGUGUGUGUGUGUGUGUGUACCUGCGUGCAUGAUUAUUAGUGGGGGAGUGCGUAUGUGGGGGAGCUGUUGAAGUGCGGAGGCACACGGUCGCGUGCCGCACGGACUGCAGGUGUGCCGUAUGCCGUGAGCUUGUCUGUGCGCCGGCCGGCGUACAUGUUGCUGCCUCCUAUCAUCUUUUCCCUACCUCAUGACCUUGGACUUCCGCUUCUCUCGCGGAGCCGCCUUGAGCCGCACCAGCAGCGCCAGCCGCAGCCACACGAGAAAAGGCACAGCAGCUUACAGAUAAGGAAGGAGGAGUAAGUGAGAGCGAGCAAGGUCCUGCGGGUGCCCUUGCUCACACGCGUUGCAUAGCCCUUCCACUACCUCGGCGGCGAGCGCUGCAUCCUCCCAGCGCUCCUGCCCCCCCUCCCUCCACCCCGAAAAUAAAAUCUCGUUGCCUGUUCUCUUCACGUGUCUCCCAGACGGUCGGCCUUUCGCUUCCCCGCCUCCUUUGUUUUGCUCACGUGCCCUUCUUCUUUUCCCUCCUUGGCUACCCAUCAAUCACCGACGGCGCGCACAUCACCGCGUGAG
RNAcentral lists this unclassified non-coding RNA (2194 nucleotides) under Leishmania donovani. Its description in RNAcentral is "gene:unknown". The record is from RNAcentral. Lineage: Eukaryota; Euglenozoa; Kinetoplastea; Trypanosomatida; Trypanosomatidae.